AACGCACAUUGCGCCUCCUGGUAUUCCGGGAGGCACGCCUGUUCGAGCGCCAUUACACACUCCAAGCGCAGCUUGAUGUUGGACGAUGCGGGUUAUGCGCACGUCUGGAACGCGUGGGCGUCCGUCUGUCGAGACACCGCGAGCGUAGCAAGAUUUCGUAUGGGAUCAUUCGCUCGGACGGGACUCCAGGGGGCGGCCUCUGUUCGACACGGAAUUUUCGUGUGUGGACAUGCAUAUUAGAUGUACAUGGUUUGGCCUCGGAUCAGGCGGGGAUACCCGCUGAACUUAA
RNAcentral lists this unclassified non-coding RNA (289 nucleotides) under uncultured Venturiales. RNAcentral's name for it is "sequence contains 5.8S rRNA gene, ITS2, 28S rRNA gene". Lineage: Eukaryota; Fungi; Ascomycota; Dothideomycetes. The record is from RNAcentral.